Molecule: small nuclear RNA, 19 nt
Filed under: Arabidopsis thaliana (thale cress)
Lineage: Eukaryota; Viridiplantae; Streptophyta; Magnoliopsida; Brassicales; Brassicaceae
Description: snRNA_18974
Source: RNAcentral
CAGCUACUAUUUCUAUCAU